GGUGGAUCCAGGGCCUAAGGGUCCCUCCAGGGCCUGUCUUUCUCUCCCACAUAGAAAGAGGAGGAGGAAUCAGAGCAGACCAGUGUGAAGAAAAGACUUUAUUGCAGGUAUUUCAAGAAGUGGUACAAACCCAUCCCGGGGAAGAAGUGGGGUGCUCAGACCUGAGACACCACCACAUCUGGGGUGGAGGUCCUGUUUCCUGAGGUAGGGGUCAGUCUCCACCCCUUUGAGCGGCCACACUUGAUGAGUUACUAAACUUGUUGCCAGGGCCCAGAGUAAGUGAGCUGAUAAGGGAAUUUCGAAGGGAAGCUUUUUUGUUUGUUUGUUUCAUUUAAGGAGAAGUAACCUACUUAAAGAGGGUAUUGGGGGAACAGUGCGGCUAUGCAAAACCCAGGCUGCCCGCUCUGCUGCCUGCUGCUUGCAGAGAUGCGAAGGGGCCCAGUCCCUAAUCUAAUUCCACCUGAGAAGUCACUGUUCCUACAAUACCAUACUUUAAACAUCACUCUUGUUUUCAAGAAUAUCAAGGGAAGGGGGAAAGAGUAGGAGGAGAAAAGGGUGUCAAAAAUGAUCAAGAUAGGAUAUACAUAUGUUUGUACGAAUUCCCAAGACAAAUAUAAAUAUUAUGGAUAACAAACAUAUACCAAUAAAAUGGAAAAAAAUGUAGCAGUCUGUAUAUUUAUAGUAAAUACAUGGAUUAAUACUAGUAGCUAAUUCUGGGUAAAAUCUCACCACAGAUAGGCCCUGUCUAUAUCUAUACCCAUUUAAUCUUCCCCACAAACCUAAAUGGUAAGCACUAUUAUCAUCUGGUUGGUAGUUGAAGGAAAUGAACCACAGACACCUCAAAUAACUUCCCCAAGAUAUCAGUGGAUGUCUGGCUGAAGUUCUUAACCUUUACUUUAUACUCACUAACAGCAAAAAUGAGAAGAACCACUUUUCAAGAAUGCAAAUUUUGUUCCAGGAACAUUCAUUAUCUCACUUCACCUUUGUGCUCCUGUGAGUAAAUAAUGUCUCUGUUCUACAGAUGAGGAAACCAAGGCUUCGAGGUACCCAAUAACUGGCUUAAAGUUACUGUCAAAACACAGGGCCCUCAUACAUGCUUCUACAGCAGUCUUAAUCCAUGCUUCAUUCUCCAAGAUUUGCCUCAUACUUCUGCCACGCUUAUGCCAACACAUCAACUGCGCUUUAUGGAGCUUCCAGCUCACUAUAUCACGUGUUGAAUGCUAGUAAAUAAUGGAGCUGAAACUCUGGAAUUGCAAAGAGGAUAUAAAUUGUGAUCCUACUAUUUCUAGUCAGAAAAGUUUAAAACUGGCAUCUGUGGCCCUCACUUCUCUGCCAGACUCCAUGUCCCGAAGGCUGACCUUGCAGAGUGCACCACCUGGGCUACCUGUUCAGUUCAACCAACAAGAAUUGUCCUCUUCCACUGCCUCAAUGCUAAGGAUCCAACUGUGGCUUCUCCUUUUAUAACAACUCCUGAUAGACUCUUACCAUAACACCAGCUCUCCCUAAGAUCCAAAAACAUGAUUGCCUCCCCUGUUCCUUUAGGCCUAACAGUAAUAUCAUCUUCUUCUUACAGCCAUACGUGGGUGCCGUAGGAUCCCUUGCUGAUGUGAUCCAUUCAUAGUUCUAUAUAAGCCAUGAGCAAAUAGCUUUGCUCCUCCUCCCUGCUCUCCUACCAGGAUGUGCUGCUCUGCCACAGGUCCAAAAGUAAUGAGGCCAACCAACUAUGGACUGAAGCUUCCUAAACUGUGAGCCAAACAAAACCUUUCUUGUGAUAAAUUGAUCAUCUCAGAUAUUUGUUUUAGUAAUGGAUAUCUAAGAUAGAAAAUUCUGGGUUAGGCCUUAGCAACCACCACAGUUAGAUGAUUCAAAGGUUAUCUUAUUAAAAUAUUCUAAGUAUCAGUUCUGUCAGG
RNAcentral lists this long non-coding RNA (1910 nucleotides) under Heterocephalus glaber (naked mole-rat). Its description in RNAcentral is "lncRNA (ENSHGLG00100050663.1)". The record is from RNAcentral. Lineage: Eukaryota; Metazoa; Chordata; Mammalia; Rodentia; Bathyergidae.